Molecule: ribosomal RNA, 253 nt
Filed under: uncultured bacterium
Lineage: Bacteria
Description: partial 16S ribosomal RNA
Rfam family: Bacterial small subunit ribosomal RNA
Source: RNAcentral
UACGUAGGGGGCAAGCGUUGUCCGGAAUCAUUGGGCGUAAAGCGCGCGUAGGCGGCCCGGUAAGUCCGCUGUAAAAGUCCAGGGCUCAACCCUGGAAAGCCGGUGGAUACUGUCGGGCUAGAGUCCGGAAGAGGCGAGUGGAAUUCCUGGUGUAGCGGUGGAAUGCGCAGAUAUCAGGAGGAACACCGAUGGCGAAGGCAGCUCGCUGGGACGGUACUGACGCUGAGGCGCGAAAGCUAGGGGAGCAAACGGG